UACGUAGGUGGCAAGCGUUGUCCGGAAUUACUGGGCGUAAAGGGCGUGUAGGCGGCCAUUUAAGUCAGGCGUGAAAUCCAUGGGCUUAACCCAUGAAUUGCGUUUGAAACUGGGUGGCUUGAGGAUCGGAGAGGGCAGUGGAAUUCCCAGUGUAGCGGUGAAAUGCGUAGAUAUUGGGAGGAACACCAGUGGCGAAGGCGACUGCCUGGACGACACCUGACGCUGAGGCGCGAAAGCUAGGGGAG
Molecule: ribosomal RNA, 245 nt
Filed under: uncultured bacterium
Lineage: Bacteria
Description: partial 16S ribosomal RNA
Rfam family: Bacterial small subunit ribosomal RNA
Source: RNAcentral